GACGAACGCUGGCGGCGUGCUUAACACAUGCAAGUCGAACGGUAAGGCCCUGCUUUUGUGGGGUGCUCGAGUGUCGAACGGGUGUGUAACACGUGAGUAACCUGCCCUUUACUUUGUGAUAACUUCAGGAAACUUGGGCUAAUACCGGAUAUGUUCUCCUGCUUCAUGGUGGGGGUUGGAAAGUUUCGGCGGUUGGGGAUGGACUCGCGGCUUAUCAGCUUGUUGGUGGGGUAGUGGCUUACCCAGGCUUUGACGGGUAGCCGGCCUGAGAGGGUGACAGGCAAAAUUGGGACAGAGAUACGGCCCAGACUGCUACGGGAGGCAGCAGUGGGGAAUAUUGCACAAUGGGCGGAAGCCUGAUGCAGCAACGCCGCGUGCGGGAUGACGGACUUCGGGUUGUAAACCGCUUUCGCCUGUGACGAAGCGUGAGUGACGGUAAUGGGUAAAGAAGCACCGGCUAACUACGUG
RNAcentral lists this ribosomal RNA (468 nucleotides) under uncultured bacterium. RNAcentral describes it as "partial 16S ribosomal RNA". It matches the Rfam family "Bacterial small subunit ribosomal RNA", at positions 28 to 507 of the family's 1533-position model. The record is from RNAcentral.